This 482-nucleotide ribosomal RNA is filed under the name uncultured bacterium. RNAcentral's name for it is "partial 16S ribosomal RNA". It matches the Rfam family "Bacterial small subunit ribosomal RNA", at positions 28 to 506 of the family's 1533-position model. The record is from RNAcentral.
GACGAACGCUGGCGGCGUGCUUAACACAUGCAAGUCGAACGAUGAAGCGGGUGCUUGCACUCGUGGAUUAGUGGCGAACGGGCGAGUAACACGUGAGUAACCUGUCCUUUUCUUUGGGAUAACGGCUGGAAACGGCUGCUAAUACUGGAUAUUCAGGCUGCAUCGCAUGGUGUGGUUUGGAAAGGUUUUUUCUGGGAUUGGGUGGGCUCGCGGCCUAUCAGCUUGUUGGUGGGGUGAUGGCUUACCAAGGCUUUGACGGGUAGCCGGCCUGAGAGGGUGGUCGGUCGCACUGGGACUGAGAUACGGCCCAGACUCCUACGGGAGGCAGCAGUGGGGAAUAUUGCACAAUGGACGAAAGUUUGAUGCAGCGACGCCGCGUGGAGGGUGUAGGCCUUCGGGUUGUGAACUCCUUUUGCUCGCGAAAAAGGCACAGUGUUGGCUGUGUGGAUGGUAGUGGGGGAAGAAGCGCCGGCUAACUACGU